GAUGAACGCUGGCGGCGUGCCUAAUACAUGCAAGUCGAGCGAACGGACGAGAAGCUUGCUUCUCUGAUGUUAGCGGCGGACGGGUGAGUAACACGUGGAUAACCUACCUAUAAGACUGGGAUAACUUCGGGAAACCGGAGCUAAUACCGGAUGAUAUUUUGAACCGCAUGGUUCAAAAGUGAAAGACGGUCUUGCUGUCACUUAUAGAUGGAUCCGCGCUGCAUUAGCUAGUUGGUAAGGUAACGGCUUACCAAGGCAACGAUGCAUAGCCGACCUGAGAGGGUGAUCGGCCACACUGGAACUGAGACACGGUCCAGACUCCGACGGGAGGCAGCAGUAGGGAAUCUUCCGCAAUGGGCGAAAGCCUGACGGAGCAACGCCGCGUGAGUGAUGAAGGUCUUCGGAUCGUAAAACUCUGUUAUUAGGGAAGAACAUAUGUGUAAGUAACUGUGCACAUCUUGACGGUACCUAAGCAGAAAGCCACGGCUAACUACGU
Molecule: ribosomal RNA, 496 nt
Filed under: uncultured bacterium
Lineage: Bacteria
Description: partial 16S ribosomal RNA
Rfam family: Bacterial small subunit ribosomal RNA
Source: RNAcentral